This 274-nucleotide ribosomal RNA is filed under the name uncultured bacterium. Its description in RNAcentral is "partial 16S ribosomal RNA". It matches the Rfam family "Bacterial small subunit ribosomal RNA", at positions 523 to 796 of the family's 1533-position model. The record is from RNAcentral.
AUACGGGGGGUGCAAGCGUUAUUCGGAAUCACUGGGCGUAAAGGGCGCGCAGGCGGUUUGGUAAGUCAGAUGUGAAAGCCCGGGGCUCAACCCCGGAAGUGCAUUUGAUACUGCCUGACUUGAGUAUGGGAGAGGGAAGUGGAAUUCCUGGUGUAGAGGUGAAAUUCGUAGAUAUCAGGAGGAACACCGGUGGCGAAGGCGACUUCCUGGACCAAUACUGACGCUGAGGCGCGAAGGCGUGGGGAGCGAACAGGAUUAGAUACCCUAGUAGUCC